This 478-nucleotide ribosomal RNA is filed under the name uncultured bacterium. RNAcentral's name for it is "bacterial SSU rRNA". It matches the Rfam family "Bacterial small subunit ribosomal RNA", at positions 29 to 509 of the family's 1533-position model. The record is from RNAcentral.
AACGAACGUUGGCGGCGUGGAUGAGGCAUGCAAGUCGCGCGAGAAAGCACCUUCGGGUGUGAGUAGAGCGGCGGACGGGUGAGUAACACGUGACCGAUCUACCCUUGAUCCUGGGACAACAGCGGGAAACUGCUGCUAAUACCGGAUGGUCCAUCUGGACUGCAUGGUUUGGAUGGUAAAGGUGGGGAUCCUGCGGGACCUAUCGAUCGAGGAGGAGGUUGCGGCCUAUCAGCUAGUUGGUGAGGUAAUGGCUCACCAAGGCAACGACGGGUAGCAGGCCUGAGAGGGUGGUCUGCCACACUGGGACUGAGACACUGCCCAGACUCCUACGGGAGCUGCAGUCGAGGAUCUUCCGCAAUGGGCGCAAGCCUGAUCUAGCCAUGCCGCGUGAGCGAUGAAGGCCUUAGGGUUGUAAGCUCUUUCAGUGGGGAAGAUAAUGACUGUACCCACAGAAGAACGCCCCGGCUAACUCCGUGCC